RNA transcript from Passer domesticus (house sparrow), 5258 nucleotides. It is a transcript of the gene named RUN and FYVE domain containing 2, with no coding region annotated. NCBI's taxonomy places the organism in Eukaryota, Metazoa, Chordata, Aves, Passeriformes, Passeridae. The record is from RefSeq and is a predicted model, not a curated record. The transcript has 19 exons.
ACAGGGGCGGGGCGGUGCCCGGGGCUGUCGCGACAGGGGCGGGUCCUCCCGCCGCCGGGGGCGCCGCGCGGCGCGGGCCGAGGGCGGGAGGAGCGGCGGGCCCUGAGGGAGCGGCCGCGGCGGCGGCUCCUCCUCUCCAGCCAUGGCUGUAAAGGACCCUACAGCUGUAGAAAGAGCAAAUUUAUUAAACAUGGCUAAACUGAGUAUCAAAGGACUCAUUGAAUCAGCCUUGAGCUUUGGGCGCACUCUGGAUUCUGACUACCCACCUUUGCAGCAGUUCUUUGUUGUCAUGGAGCACUGCCUGAAGCAUGGCCUGAAAGUAAGAAAAUCCUUUCUCAGUUACAAUAAAACCAUCUGGGGUCCUCUGGAACUUGUGGAAAAAUUAUAUCCAGAAGCUGAGGAAAUAGCAGCAAGUGUCAGAGAUUUGCCUGGCCUUAAGACGCCGCUGGGCCGUGCCCGGGCCUGGCUGCGGUUGGCGCUGAUGCAGAAGAAAAUGGCUGAUUAUCUUCGCUGUUUAAUCAUUCAGAGGGACCUCCUCAGUGAGUUUUAUGAGUAUCAUGCACUCAUGAUGGAGGAGGAAGGAGCAGUGAUUGUUGGGCUGUUAGUUGGGCUGAAUGUGAUCGAUGCCAACCUGUGUGUGAAGGGAGAAGACCUGGAUUCACAAGUUGGGGUGAUUGAUUUCUCUGUGUAUUUGAAGAGUGAUGAUGACAUUGGGGGUAAAGAAAGAGAUAUACAGAUUGCUGCAAUAUUGGACCAAAAGAAUUAUGUUGAGGAACUAAACAGGCAACUGAAUAGCACAGUUAGCAGUCUACAUGCAAGAGUUGACUCACUGGAGAAAUCAAACACGAAGCUGAUUGAAGAGUUAGCAAUAGCAAAAAACAAUAUAAUUAAACUUCAGGAAGAAAACCAUCAAUUAAGGAGUGAAAAUACUCUGAUUUUAAUGAAAACACAGCAUCAUCUAGAGGCAGCCAAGGUGGACGUGGAGGCAGAGCUGCAGACCUACAAGCACUCGAGGCAGGGCUUGGAUGAGAUGUACACGGAGGCGCGCAGGCAGCUCCGCGAGGAGGCACAGCUGCGCCAGGAUAUGGAGAAUGAGCUAGUGGUUCAAGUUAGCAUGAAACAUGAGAUAGAGCUUGCCAUGAAGCUGCUGGAGAAGGAUAUCCAUGAGAAGCAGGACACCCUCAUCGGCCUACGGCAGCAGCUUGAUGAAGUCAAAGCAAUUAAUGUGGAAAUGUACCAAAAGCUGCAGGUUUCUGAAGAUGCUAUGAAAGAAAAGAAUGAAAUAAUUAGUCGAUUAGAGGAUAAGACCAAUCAAAUUAAUGCAACUAUGAAACAACUGGAACAAAGAUUGCAGCAAGCAGAGAAGGCUCAAAUGGAGGCAGAGGCUGAGGAUGAGAAACUUAAGCAGGAAUAUGUGAAUAAAUCUGAAAGCCUGCAGAACGAAUUCUCCCAGAAGGAGAAACAGCUGCUUCAGCUGGAAACAGAUUUGAAGAUAGAAAAAGAGUGGCGGCAAACCCUGGAGGAUGAUCUUCAGAAGGAAAAGGAGACUGUAUCUCAUCUGAGAACAGAGACCCAAGAAAUAGUUACCCUUAAGAAAGAGUUCCUUAAACUUCAGGAGAAGAACAAGCAGCUGAAAAGCAUAUGUGAGGACCAAGAAGCUGCUCUCCAAGAACUGGCAUCCAAGCUGAGCGAAUCAAAGCUGAAAAUAGAAGAUAUAAAAGAAGCAAACAAGGCAUUGCAGGGCCAGGUUUGGUUGAAGGACAAAGAAGCCACUCAUUGCAAGCUGUGUGAAAAGGAAUUUUCACUUUCCAAAAGGAAGCAUCACUGUAGGAACUGUGGGGAGAUCUUCUGCAAUGCCUGUUCUGACAAUGAGCUGCCUCUGCCCUCUUCACCAAAGCCAGUCCGGGUCUGUGAUUCCUGCCAUGCAAUACUGAUACAGAGGUGCUCUUCUAACGUGCCAUAAGAUAUUUAUCCAUUCUGCUGUUUAGCUCAUCCUGUCAAAACCACCACACCAACUAAAGAAUGUGCCACAGUAUUUCCAGACUUUGAGGAAAAAUGUGUAAUAUUCAGAUUGCUGUUACUGACUGCAGGUAAGACUUCUGCCUUGAACAAAAUGAAUGCUGGAUGUUCCAUAUCGUUUAAUUUCCCUUGGCAUCAAAUUAUAUACCUGGCCUGCUUUUAAGGUUUUUGGACACUGCUGUGACUAAUGCUGCAAUUCUGUCCUUCUGUAAAAACCCUGCUCAAUUCUAAAUCCUUCUCGCACAAAGACAAGCACAGGAAGAGCCGUGGGGUACCCACAGGAACCUGGAACUGUCAGACAGGACCAGAGCAGCAUUUUAUUCCUUUUGGGGAAUGAAGCCACUUCUGCCUUGCUGCGCUGGGGGCGUUCACCAGCCCCCAGUGUCGAUGCCGUGUUCCUCGUGCUCCUCCCGGCUCCGCCAGGUCCGUGCCGUGUUUGCUCCGGAGCCCCGGUGCUGCCCGGCAGGAGCAGGGCCAGGAAGCUGCCCCGGCCUGCGGGAGCUCCUGUGGGAGCGGGCACGGGAACGGCUCCCGUGCCGGUCGAGGCUGCUGCUGGCAGCUGAGGGCCGGAGCUGAGCGCUCUCGCUGCGGCUGAAGGGACGGGCGGGCACAAGGGACUCGUGUCCCGCACAGCGUGUGCUGGCUGGGGCUGAAGUGAGCAGGCUGCAGCUUGCCCAAAGCACAGCCCCAGCCUCCCCAAAGGCCAGGCCCGGUGUCAGCUCCUCCCAGGAUGGAGCCCCAGCUGUUCCCAGGCGAGGAGGCGCUGCCGAGCUGCAGGAUUUCGCUCUGCUGUGCCCGCGCUAACAGACUGCUGCAAGCGACCUUUCCUCCACCUCACUCUAAGGUACUUCUGCUAUUGAAUUAACUCUGGUGCUACCAUUGCCACUCGGGAAACACCUCAGCUUCGCUGGCAAGACCAAAAGCCCCCUAGUUCUGCAGAGCACAAUGGUCCAAAUGGUCAAGAACUCCUUUUCCCUCCCCUUCCUAGCCAACACUUCCUGUGCCAGUUACCCUUUUCAGCUCUUCCACGCCCUUUGACACCCGGACACAGCCUCUGGUGAAAUAAACUCCAUUCUCCUCUCUCCCACAAGAAGACAUUUAUUACAGAUAUAACACAGUACUAGCAAAACAGGUGACAGACUUGCAAUACCCAAGAUCACAUUUGACAUUUUAAGGGAGGCAUUGAGGACAAAGCAGUUAAUUUGGGAGAUCACACUGGCUCAGAAGAAUAAAUACCUUUUUCCAUUACACAUCAGGUAUGUUAAGUGUCUUCAAACAGUAAGUUUCUUACAUAUCUUACAUGUCACAAAUGCACAAAAAGUUUUAUCAGCGUGUUUGGGUUGUGUGUUCCUGAAGAAGUAUUGGGCCUAUAGAUAUUUUAGAGAUCUUGGCUUCUAAUGAGCUCCUAUGUAGAAUGGCUUGGCAAACUUUGAACAAAUACAGACAAAUCAGCUCUGUGCAGUGAAAGAAAAUGCUGAACCAUGUUUAAAUACAAUAAAUUCAAGAAAGAAAAGAAGUAACUUGCUUCCAAAUCCCCCACUCUUCCUAAAAGCGUGUUUGUGAAAACAAUACUAAGUAAAAAGCGUCAAAUGAACUAGUACUUGACCUACGUUAGCUAAAAGCUGUGCUCGUGUUUCAGUCAGACUUGCAGGUCCCCUGUGUGAAAUGCAGGCUCCAACCACUCCAGCAAGGUGGAAAUAAAUGUGGCUGCAGGGUGCUGUGGAGGCAGACAGGGGUGCUGCUCCUUUACAGCUGUGCAGUUGCUGGGGGUGCUGGCAGCAGGAGGAACAACGACUGAGCCUCCACAGCUUUCUGCUGCGCUGCAGUUACUACAUACAACUUACCAAAAGGGCUUAGGAAAGUAAUUACCAAAUCAACUAAUCUACUCAUCUACCCUUCUCCCCUUAAACAAGUGAAUGUUUAAAUUUGCUCACUAGACCAGGAUUACAUAGAACUGAAUCAGUGUUCAUAGGAGUUACAGUACAACCACCUUUAUGGAACCAUAGUACAACAUUUUAAACCGACUGUAGUCUUGAAUAUGCAAUACAUCCUUAGGAGUAACUAGUAUAAAAAGUAUCAACAUCAGUGGUUUGAAUAUAAAAAUUUAUUUAAAGUCAGAGUAUGCAACAAAUAAAACCUACAGAAAACAGAUUUUCCCAUCACAAUCUGUUGCUUACCAAAUAAUAUUGUGAAAACACAUUCCUUCAGUCAUUAUAAAGUUCUUAAAAUACAAAAGAAAUUAAAUUUUGUAAGAAAGUCUAGUAGACCAGAGACUGUUUCUUCCAAGAUGUUCUGCAGAAGCAAGGCUAUCCUUCAAUACAUCCCACGCCAUCCUCCUCCACCCAUGCUGCCUUGCCCAUAGUAUCCUCCACUAUUUCCACUGCCACGACCUGCAAACAAUUGACAAGGUCACGCAUACAUACCUUAAAAAAAGAAAAAAUGGGACGGGUGAUACAGAACAAUGGCUGAAGGUGACAACUCACACUAACAACACUCCAGCACCACUGCUCUUAACCAGUGUUUGCUGCAGUGGCACAAUGUGCAAAGCCCCCAGAGAUGGAGUUUCAGAAGAGCAGUGCCCCUCUGUCCAUUCUCCCAGCCCAGUGCCCCCCAUCAAAGACAGUCAUUCACACACUCCCCCAGACACGUGAAAGAGAACUUGUACUUACUGUAUCCCCCCAAGCCAUCAGGAGUUCCAUAUCCACCGCUGUAAUUGCUACCCAUUCCCAUUCUACCAACAGAGCCGUAACCUUGAUCUGCAAAGCCAAAAGUGCAACAUUACAAGCUUGGGACUCACUAGUCUUGGCAAGGCAUCAACUAAAUGUGCAAUUGAUGCGUACCCAUUCCAUCUCUGCCAUAGCCUCCCAUUCCAGAGCCACCUCCAGCAGUAGAAUUCAGGAACAGUUCAAUAUACCGAUGCUCUGUAAGAAGCAAAAAGCCUCAGUUUGCAUUUUGUUUUCCAGACCAGAAGCAGAAGUACAAAGCAACCCCCCACGGCCCUUAAAGGCAGCAGACAAAAGGCCACAAACGUGGGAAACUGUGACCACCUCAGGAUGGAGCUGCUGCUCCCAGCCCUGCUAGCACCUGGCCGAGCGGCAGUCAGGAACACGACACUCACGCAUGUGGUUCUUAUCCUUGGACAUGGCAGCCACUGCAUCCUCGUGUGUUACAAACUCCACAUCUGCCUCUCCUGUAGCUCUUCCAUCUGCUCCAAUAUCAAUGUGAACUCUUAUAGGGUU